This 293-nucleotide ribosomal RNA is filed under the name uncultured bacterium. RNAcentral describes it as "partial 16S ribosomal RNA". The record is from RNAcentral.
GGACUACUGGGGUAUCUAAUCCUGUUCGCUCCCCACGCUUUCGCUCCUCAGCGUCAGUACCGGCCCAGACCACCGCCUUCGCCACCGGUGUUCCUCCUGAUAUCUGCGCAUUUCACCGCUACACCAGGAAUUCCGUGGUCCCCUACCGGACUCUAGCCAUAGCAGUAUCGGGUGGCCUCUCCAGGUUAAGCCUGGAGGUUUUACACCCGACUUGCUAAGCCGCCUACGAGCUCUUUACGCCCAAUGAAUCCGGACAACGCUCGCCCCCUACGUAUUACCGCGGCGGCUGGCAC